GAUGAACGCUGGCGGCGUGCCUAAUACAUGCAAGUCGAGCGAACAGACGAGGAGCUUGCUCCUCUGACGUUAGCGGCGGACGGGUGAGUAACACGUGGAUAACCUACCUAUAAGACUGGGAUAACUUCGGGAAACCGGAGCUAAUACCGGAUAAUAUAUUGAACCGCAUGGUUCAAUAGUGAAAGACGGUUUUGCUGUCACUUAUAGAUGGAUCCGCGCCGCAUUAGCUAGUUGGUAAGGUAACGGCUUACCAAGGCGACGAUGCGUAGCCGACCUGAGAGGGUGAUCGGCCACACUGGAACUGAGACACGGUCCAGACUCCUACGGGAGGCAGCAGUAGGGAAUCUUCCGCAAUGGGCGAAAGCCUGACGGGGCAACGCCGCGUGAGUGAUGAAGGUCUUCGGAUCGUAGAACGCUGUUAUUAGGGAAGAACAAAUGUGUAAGUAACUAUGCACGUCUUGACGGUACCUAAUCAGAAAGCCACGGCUAACUACGUG
Molecule: ribosomal RNA, 497 nt
Filed under: uncultured bacterium
Lineage: Bacteria
Description: partial 16S ribosomal RNA
Rfam family: Bacterial small subunit ribosomal RNA
Source: RNAcentral